Molecule: ribosomal RNA, 253 nt
Filed under: uncultured bacterium
Lineage: Bacteria
Description: partial 16S ribosomal RNA
Rfam family: Bacterial small subunit ribosomal RNA
Source: RNAcentral
UACGUAGGGGGCAAGCGUUGUCCGGAAUCAUUGGGCGUAAAGAGCGUGUAGGCGGUCCGGUAAGUCGGCUGUGAAAGUCCAGGGCUCAACCCUGGGAUGCCGGUCGAUACUGCCGGACUAGAGUUCGGAAGAGGCGAGUGGAAUUCCUGGUGUAGCGGUGAAAUGCGCAGAUAUCAGGAAGAACACCCGUGGCUAAGGCGGCUCUCUAGUACGGUACUGACGCUGAGACGCGAAAGCGUGGGGAGCGAACAGG